GGCAGCAGUGAGGGAUAUUGCACAAUGGGCGAAAGCCUGAUGCAGCAACGCCGCGUGAGGGAAGACGGUCUUCGGAUUGUAGACCUCUGUCUUCGGUGACGAACAAAUGACGGUAGCCGGGGAGGAAGCCACGGCUAACUACGUGCCAGCAGCCGCGGUAAUACGUAGGUGGCGAGCGUUGUCCGGAAUUACUGGGUGUAAAGGGGGCGCA
This 211-nucleotide ribosomal RNA is filed under the name uncultured bacterium. RNAcentral's name for it is "partial 16S ribosomal RNA". It matches the Rfam family "Bacterial small subunit ribosomal RNA", at positions 347 to 573 of the family's 1533-position model. The record is from RNAcentral.